AGCGAACGCUGGCGGCAGGCCUAACACAUGCAAGUCGAACGAACCUUUCGGGGUUAGUGGCGGACGGGUGAGUAACACGUGGGAACGUGCCUUUAGGUUCGGAAUAACUCAGGGAAACUUGUGCUAAUACCGAAUGUGCCCUUCGGGGGAAAGAUUUAUCGCCUUUAGAGCGGCCCGCGUCUGAUUAGCUAGUUGGUUGAGGUAAUGGCUCACCAAGGCGACGAUCAGUAGCUGGUCUGAGAGGAUGAUCAGCCACAUUGGGACUGAGACACGGCCCAAACUCCUACGGGAGGGAGCAGUGGGGAAUCUUGCGCAAUGGGCGAAAGCCUGACGCAGCCAUGCCGCGUGAAUGAUGAAGGUCUUAGGAUUGUAAAAUUCUUUCAACGGGGACGAUAAUGACGGUACCCGGAGAAGAAGCCCCGGCUAACUUCGUG
RNAcentral lists this ribosomal RNA (434 nucleotides) under uncultured bacterium. Its description in RNAcentral is "partial 16S ribosomal RNA". It matches the Rfam family "Bacterial small subunit ribosomal RNA", at positions 29 to 507 of the family's 1533-position model. The record is from RNAcentral.